RNAcentral lists this long non-coding RNA (1346 nucleotides) under Sarcophilus harrisii (Tasmanian devil). RNAcentral's name for it is "lncRNA (ENSSHAG00000021261.1)". The record is from RNAcentral. Lineage: Eukaryota; Metazoa; Chordata; Mammalia; Dasyuromorphia; Dasyuridae.
AUGUGAGUGAGAUCCUGAGCUCUUCUGAGGCCUGCCCUUUUCUAUGACCAGUUUCCAUUGGGGAAGAGUCCUGGGAAAGGUCAUCUGUACCUGAGCUUCAAGGGGCUGGUGCCCUGAGGCAUGCUGGAGCAAUUACCUACCACCAACCUACAGGUUUGUUAAGUAAUUGAAGUUCCAAAAAUUAAUGUUUAGAGCCCAAAUCCAGAUGUUAUAACCUCAAAAAUAGUACUUUAAUGCAAAACAUGGAUUUUAUAAAACUUGGAAAUUUUGGAGUAAUUCUGUAUUAACCCACAAGAUUUUUUUUUUUUUAAAUGGACUAAUGGUCCUUUAAAGCUCCUGGUUUCAAAAUGGUUGAUGUAAUGAUCUUAAAACCUUUCAAAGAAUAUCUUUUGUACACUUGGCAUGCUCCUGGGUAUAAAUUCAUAUGACAUAGGAAAAAAAUGGUUACCAACAAAACAUCUAGGAGUAGGGGAAAGAAGGUGUCUGGAGUUCCAGUGUAUUGGAAAUCUUUUCUAUCAGGACAUCAGUUGUAUAACUUUAUGGCUUUGGGGGUUGUCUAAGGGCAUUGAGAGGUUACAUCACUUGCUCAAGGUCACUGAAUUAUAAGGGAGGGACUUGAAUCCAGGACUUACUGACUCAGACCACUUCUCUGUCCACUGAUCUGCAUCCCUGUCACCAAUGAAACUAUGGCUUCCUUGAUCACCAGCAUAAGGGAUGCAAAGAAUGUGUGAGGUUGCUUGUACAGAUUUUAAAUGUAUGUGAAAGAUCCCAGGGCCCAGAUGAAUGAACACAUCUUAAGCCUCUUACUACCCCUCUUCUUUCCCUCACUUUCCAUUUCCUUUAUAGUUCUUUCUGAUCAUCCCAGGAAUGAGAAGGUCACAUGAAGAAAGUACAUUUUAAGUGCUUUGCUCUUGGUAGGAGAUAAUUAGAAAGGAGGAAGACAAAGAAAGGCAAUUCCAAACCACCUUACUUACCAAAUCAAUGGUUUAUUUUCUUAGAGUAAUAGUGCAUCUUCCAUCCAACUGUUCUUUUUAGGAGGUAGUAUGUGGAAGUAGGGGAAUGGGGGGAGAGAGUGUCUAAAAAAAGUCCUAGAACUCCCUUAGUUACAUGGUAAAAGGACAGUCUUUAAGAAACUUAAAAGCACACAGUCUCAGUCUAAAGAAAAACCACCACAGUGGUGUCAAUAAUAACUCAACAGCACUUGUGUCUGACCAGAGGGUGAAUUGUAUGUCACUCCUUCAGAUCUUAACUGAAGGGGCGUUAAGUCUUGAUGUGUUUGGUGUUGCCUAUUUGCUUUGCUGUUAUCCAUUUUUGCUACUAAACUAAUCCAAAGGACUUAUAAAGCC